GGGAGACUGAAUGGGAAUACUAGGUCCUGUAAGCUUUUUAUUUGGAUCAGUGUUUUCAUGGCCUCUGCACAACAUCCUGUUUUGGGAUAAAGGUUGGACACAGGUUUGAAGGGGACCCAAUCAAUCAAUCAAUCAAUCAGUCAGUCAGUCUUUUGAUUACACUAUUUAAAUAGGCCCCAUUUGGGGUCAGCUUUCGCUUACGGCCAUACCACUCUGAAAAAGCCUGAUCUCAUCUGACCUCGGAAGCAAAGCAGAGCUGGGCCUGGUUAGUACUUGGUUGGGAGACUGAAUGGGAAUACUAGGUGCUGUAAGCUUUUUAUUUGGAUCAGUGUUUUCAUGGCCUCUGCACAACAUCCUGUUUUGAGAUAAAGGUUGGACACAGGUUUGAAGGGGACCCAAUCAAUCAAUCAAUCAGUCAGUCAGUCUUUUGAUUACACUAUUUAAAUAGGCCCCAUUUGGGGUCAGCUUUCGCUUACGGCCAUACCACUCUGAAAAAGCCUGAUCUCAUCUGACCUCGGAAGCAAAGCAGAGCUGGGCCUGGUUAGUACUUGGUUGGGAGACUGAAUGGGAAUACUAGGUGCUGUAAGCUUUUUAUUUGGAUCAGUGUUUUCAUGGCCUCUGCACAACAUCCUGUUUUGAGAUAAAGGUUGGACACAGGUUUGAAGGGGACCCAAUCAAUCAAUCAGUCAGUCAGUCUUUUGAUUACACUAUUUAAAUAGGCCCCAUUUGGGGUCAGCUUUCGGUUACGGCCAUACCACUCUGACAAAGCCUGAUCUCAUCUGACCUCGGAAGCAAAGCAGAGUUGGGCCUGGUUAGUACUCGGUUGGGAGACUGAAUGGGAAUACUAG
Long non-coding RNA from Ictalurus punctatus (channel catfish), 848 nucleotides. Lineage: Eukaryota; Metazoa; Chordata; Actinopteri; Siluriformes; Ictaluridae. The record is from Ensembl.